This 125-nucleotide ribosomal RNA is filed under the name Vibrio alginolyticus. Its description in RNAcentral is "partial 16S ribosomal RNA". It matches the Rfam family "Bacterial small subunit ribosomal RNA", at positions 1418 to 1533 of the family's 1533-position model. Lineage: Bacteria; Pseudomonadati; Pseudomonadota; Gammaproteobacteria; Vibrionales; Vibrionaceae. RNAcentral also lists the same sequence under 1 other name. The record is from RNAcentral.
CAAAAGAAGUAGGUAGUUUAACCUUCGGGGGGACGCUUACCACUUUGUGGUUCAUGACUGGGGUGAAGUCGUAACAAGGUAGCGCUAGGGGAACCUGGCGCUGGAUCACCUCCUUAUACGAUGAU